GCAGUCGAGCGGAUGAGAGAGCUUGCUCUCUGAUUCGGCGGCGGACGGGUGAGUAAUGCCUAGGAAUCUGCCUGGUAGUGGGGGACAACGUUUCGAAAGGAACGCUAAUACCGCAUACGUCCUACGGGAGAAAGCAGGGGACCUUCGGGCCUUGCGCUAUCAGAUGAGCCUAGGUCGGAUUAGCUAGUAGGUGAGGUAAAGGCUCACCUAGGCGACGAUCCGUAACUGGUCUGAGAGGAUGAUCAGUCACACUGGAACUGAGACACGGUCCAGACUCCUACGGGAGGCAGCAGUGGGGAAUAUUGGACAAUGGGCGAAAGCCUGAUCCAGCCAUGCCGCGUGUGUGAAGAAGGUCUUCGGAUUGUAAAGCACUUUAAGUUGGGAGGAAGGGCAGUAAGUUAAUACCUUGCUGUUUUGACGUUACCGACAGAAUAAGCACCGGCUAACUUCGUGCCAGCAGCCGCGGUAAUACGAAGGGUGCAAGCGUUAAUCGGAAUUACUGGGCGUAAGCGCGCGUAGGUGGUUCAGCAAGUUGAAGGUGAAAUCCCCGGGCUCAACCUGGGAACUGCCUCCAAAACUACUGAGCUAGAGUACGGUAGAGGGUAGUGGAAUUUCCUGUGUAGCGGUGAAAUGCGUAGAUAUAGGAAGGAACACCAGUGCGAAGCGACUACCUGGACUGAUACUGACACUGAG
RNAcentral lists this ribosomal RNA (693 nucleotides) under Pseudomonas sp. RNAcentral describes it as "bacterial SSU rRNA". It matches the Rfam family "Bacterial small subunit ribosomal RNA", at positions 57 to 750 of the family's 1533-position model. The record is from RNAcentral. Lineage: Bacteria; Pseudomonadati; Pseudomonadota; Gammaproteobacteria; Pseudomonadales; Pseudomonadaceae.